GACGAACGCUGGCGGCGUGCUUAACACAUGCAAGUCGAACGGAAAGGCCUGCUUUCCCUUGUGGAUUGCGGGUACUCGAGUGGCGAACGGGUGAGUAACACGUGAGUGAUCUGCCCCCAACUUGGGUAUAAGCCUGGGAAACUGGGUCUAAUUCCCGAUAGGACUGCAGGGUGGUGCCUGUGGUGGAAAACGAUUUUCUAGUGGUUGGGGAUGAGCUCGCGGCCUAUCAGCUUGUUGGUGGGGUAAUGGCCUACCAAGGCGGCGACGGGUAGCCGGCCUGAGAGGGUGGACGGACACAUUGGGACUGAGAUACGGCCCAGACUCCUACGGGAGGCAGCAGUGGGGAAUAUUGCACGAUGGGCGGAAGCCUGAUGCAGCGACGCCGCGUGGGGGAUGACGGCCUUCGGGUUGUAAACUCCUUUCGACCGCGAGGAAGCCACCUGGUUGGAAGGGUGGUGACGGUAGUGGUAGAAGAAGCACCGGCUAACUACGUG
This 494-nucleotide ribosomal RNA is filed under the name uncultured bacterium. RNAcentral describes it as "partial 16S ribosomal RNA". It matches the Rfam family "Bacterial small subunit ribosomal RNA", at positions 28 to 507 of the family's 1533-position model. The record is from RNAcentral.